UCAGCGAGUGAAGGGCAUGGAGAGCCCGGA
RNAcentral lists this small RNA (30 nucleotides) under Bombyx mori (domestic silkworm). RNAcentral's name for it is "ovarian small RNA-25686". Lineage: Eukaryota; Metazoa; Arthropoda; Insecta; Lepidoptera; Bombycidae. The record is from RNAcentral.